AUCCUGACCCCGGCAGGCUGCCUUGGUCCCGCCUGCUUACAGCGGAGGAAACUGAGGCACGCUGCACGGAAGAGUGCUGCAUACUCCUCGAGAGCUGAGAGCGGCGGGGAAUCCGGGGCAGGGGCAGGGGAGAGGCGCGACCGCUGAGGUGAAUGACCUUGCUUCGGGAGGAAGCUGGGCAUCAGUCGUUCGCGAAUUCAUUUAUGUAUCAUUCAUCCGCCCAGUCAGUCGAUGGCGGAACACUGACCACGUGCCUGCCACGCCAGUCGUCGUGGGAGCAGCCACGAGCCAGACAAGGUCCCGGCCCUGACGAAGCUCUCAUUCCUCUGCGGGAUGAGGCUGUGAGGCAUUUGCACCCCUCUGCCACCUAUAAUCAUAGUUAUUUUUAGCAUAAUUACCCGGUGGUUUGGCCCCCACCAAAUGCCUGCCCUGUAUAAACAGCCCAACACAUUUUAUUAAGAUGACUCCGGAAGAAAGAAUCUUCCCAUUUUACAGAUGAGGAACCUGAGGCUCCAAAGAGCUGAAGUCCCACAGCCUGCUCCUGAUGGAGAGAGGGUUUUGAGGCCAGGCCUGUCUACCUGGGAAGACAGAGGCUCCAGUUAUUGGAGUAAUCUCCACUCAUCCACCCCAAGAAGGCCAUCGGCGAGAGGACACCCCAGCCCUGGGGCCCACAGAAGGGGUGAGGGUGGGUCCCUCAAGGCUUCUGUGGCCCAGGGGACUUGAGAAGACAGGAGGGGGCAGGGCGAGCUGGGACCUCCUCCUGGGAACGGGGGCCUUAUUUGCUGGAAACUUCUUUCCCAUUCUCAAGCAGAAGCCUCUGGAAGAGCAUGGCGGGUUGGGCUCACGAGGCUGAGGUGGCCAGGCCCUCACUCCCUCCACUCAGCCUCGCUGGGCUUUCUUCCCUGCGCCCAGUGCACCAAGCCUUUCCCACCGCCAGGCCUUUGCCUAUGUGGCUCCCUGCAGCUGGAACUCUUCUACUUCAUCUUCCCGAUCUCAGCUUAAGUGCCCCUUCCUCAGGAGGGCCCUCCCUGAUCGCCCAGCCAAGAGUAGCUCCCUUGGGGUUUUUUGUUUUGUUUUUGAGACGGGGUCUUGGUCUGUCACUCAGGCUGGAGUACAGUGGUGCAAUCACAGCUCACUACAGCCUCCAUCCAACUCCUUCCUGGGCUCAAGCCAUCGUCCCACUCAGCCUAUAUCUAUGAAUGUGGGCAGAUUUGACGAAGCAAUUUUUUUUCUUUUUUUUAGAGAGAAGGUCUUGCUCUGUCGCCCAGGCUGGAGUACAGUGGUGCAAUCAUAGGUCACUGUAACCUGGGCUCAAGCGAUCCUCCUACCUCAGCCUCCCAGGUAGCUGAGACUACAGGUGCAUGCCACCAUGCCCGGCUAAUUUUUUAAUUUUUUGUAGAGAUAGGGUCUCUUGUUGUUGCCUGAGCUGGUCUCAAACUCCUGGGUGAUCCUCCUGCCCCGGCCUCCCAAAGUGCUGGGAUUAUAGGCUUGAGCCACCAUGCCCAGCCUACCCAUUGUGAAAUUGUACAUUUUUGACAUUGUGUGAUGAACUUUUGGUCUUCUCUCCCAGGACUAGGUGUAUUGCACUCACUGCUGUGUCUACAGAACAGUGCCUGCCACACAGUGGGUGCUGAAUACAUGGAUGUUGAAUGAAUGAAUGAUCGGACUGCAGAACUCCAGGGCGGGUUCAGCGGCAGCCUAGUCAGGAAGCCAGGCACAGGAGGUGAGCUGGGAGUUGCGCAGG
Molecule: long non-coding RNA, 1744 nt
Filed under: Homo sapiens (human)
Lineage: Eukaryota; Metazoa; Chordata; Mammalia; Primates; Hominidae
Description: non-protein coding lnc-TXNDC11-4:1
Source: RNAcentral